Molecule: ribosomal RNA, 756 nt
Filed under: cf. Trichoderma sp. 407/LP2
Lineage: Eukaryota; Fungi; Ascomycota; Sordariomycetes; Hypocreales; Hypocreaceae
Description: SSU rRNA
Rfam family: Eukaryotic small subunit ribosomal RNA
Source: RNAcentral
AUUCCCAUGGAGGCUCUCUGGUGAAUCAUGAUAACUAGUCGAAUCGACAGGCCUUGUGCCGGCGAUGGCUCAUUCAAAUUUCUUCCCUAUCAACUUUCGAUGUUUGGGUCUUGUCCAAACAUGGUGGCAACGGGUAACGGAGGGUUAGGGCUCGACCCCGGAGAAGGAGCCUGAGAAACGGCUACUACAUCCAAGGAAGGCAGCAGGCGCGCAAAUUACCCAAUCCCGACACGGGGAGGUAGUGACAAUAAAUACUGAUACAGGGCUCUUUUGGGUCUUGUAAUCGGAAUGAGUACAAUUUAAAUCCCUUAACGAGGAACAAUUGGAGGGCAAGUCUGGUGCCAGCAGCCGCGGUAAUUCCAGCUCCAAUAGCGUAUAUUAAAGUUGUUGUGGUUAAAAAGCUCGUAGUUGAACCUUGGGCCUGGCUGGCCGGUCCGCCUCACCGCGUGCACUGGUCCGGCCGGGCCUUUCCCUCUGCGGAACCCCAUGCCCUUCACUGGGUGUGGCGGGGAAACAGGACUUUUACUUUGAAAAAAUUAGAGUGCUCAAGGCAGGCCUAUGCUCGAAUACAUUAGCAUGGAAUAAUAGAAUAGGACGUGUGGUUCUAUUUUGUUGGGUUUCUAGGACCCGCCGUAAUGAUUAAUAGGGACAGUCCGGNGGCAUCAAGUAUUCAAUUGUCAGAGGUGAAAAUCUUGGGAUUUAUUGAANACUAAACUACUGCGAAAGCNUUUUCCAAGGGAUGNUUUCAUUAAUNAC